CCUACGGGGGGCUGCAGUAGGGAAUAUUGCACAAUGGACGAAAGUCCGAUGCAGCAACGCCGCGUGCACGAAGAAGGCCUUCGGGUUGUAAAGUGCUUUUGGCGGGGAAGAGGAAGGACAGUACCCGCAGAAUAAGCUUCGGCUAACUACGUGCCAGCAGCCGCGGUAACACGUAGGAAGCGAGCGUUAUCCGGAUUUACUGGGCGUAAAGCGCGUGCAGGCGGUUUUACAAGUUGGAUGUGAAAGCUCCCGGCUUAACUGGGAGAGGUCGUUCAAGACUGUGAGACUGGAGUGCGAAAGAGGGAGGUAGAAUUCCGAGUGUAGUGGUGAAAUGCGUAGAUAUUCGGAGGAAUACCAGAGGCGAAGGCGGCCUCCUGGUUCGCAACUGACGCUGAGACGCGAAAGCCAGGGUAGCAAACGGGCUUAGAUACCCCAGUAGUC
This 441-nucleotide ribosomal RNA is filed under the name uncultured Anaerolineaceae bacterium. RNAcentral's name for it is "bacterial SSU rRNA". It matches the Rfam family "Bacterial small subunit ribosomal RNA", at positions 338 to 795 of the family's 1533-position model. The record is from RNAcentral. Lineage: Bacteria; Bacillati; Chloroflexota; Anaerolineae; Anaerolineales; Anaerolineaceae.